Molecule: ribosomal RNA, 462 nt
Filed under: uncultured bacterium
Lineage: Bacteria
Description: partial 16S ribosomal RNA
Rfam family: Bacterial small subunit ribosomal RNA
Source: RNAcentral
GACGAACGCUGGCGGCGUGCUUAACACAUGCAAGUCGAACGGAAAGGCCCUUCGGGGUACUCGAGUGGCGAACGGGUGAGUAACACGUGGGUGAUCUGCCCUGCACUUUGGGAUAAGCCUGGGAAACUGGGUCUAAUACCGAAUAGGACCACGCGCUUCAUGGUGUGUGGUGGAAAGCUUUUGCGGUGUGGGAUGGGCCCGCGGCCUAUCAGCUUGUUGGUGGGGUAAUGGCCUACCAAGGCGACGACGGGUAGCCGGCCUGAGAGGGUGACAGGCCACAGGGGGUCUGAGAGGAGGCCGAGAUGGCGACGGGGGGAAACGGGGGGAAAUACUGCACAAGGGCCGCAGGCGGGGUGCAGAAGCCCCGCGGGGGGGAAAGCGCCUUUGGGGUGAUAAACCUGUUGCAGGGGGCACGAAGCGAGUGUGGCGGGACAUAAAAGAAAAGCCCCGGCCAACCUUGGC